UUGUCUGUAGUCUAGUGGCAAAACGGCUCGUUUACACCGAGCAGUCCGCAGUUCGAUUCUCUUCGGAGCCA
This 71-nucleotide transfer RNA is filed under the name Candidatus Pacearchaeota archaeon CG1_02_32_132. RNAcentral's name for it is "tRNA-Val". Lineage: Archaea; Nanobdellati. The record is from RNAcentral.